UACGUAGGGGGCAAGCGUUGUCCGGAAUCAUUGGGCGUAAAGAGCGUGUAGGCGGCUUGGCAAGUCUGACGUGAAAGCCCGCGGCUCAACCGCGGUAGGUCGUUGGAAACUGCCUGGCUAGAGUCCGGAAGAGGUGAGUGGAAUUCCUGGUGUAGCGGUGAAAUGCGCAGAUAUCAGGAAGAACACCAAUAGCGAAGGCAGCUCGCUGGGACGGUACUGACGCUGAGGCGCGAAAGCGUGGGGAGCGAACAGG
Molecule: ribosomal RNA, 253 nt
Filed under: uncultured bacterium
Lineage: Bacteria
Description: partial 16S ribosomal RNA
Rfam family: Bacterial small subunit ribosomal RNA
Source: RNAcentral